This 253-nucleotide ribosomal RNA is filed under the name uncultured bacterium. RNAcentral's name for it is "partial 16S ribosomal RNA". It matches the Rfam family "Bacterial small subunit ribosomal RNA", at positions 524 to 776 of the family's 1533-position model. The record is from RNAcentral.
UACGUAGGGUGCGAGCGUUAAUCGGAAUUACUGGGCGUAAAGCGCGCGUAGGCGGCUUUGUAAGUUAGAGGUGAAAGCCCGGGGCUCAACCCCGGAACUGCCUUUAAAACUGCAUCGCUUGAAUCCAGGAGAGGUGAGUGGAAUUCCGAGUGUAGAGGUGAAAUUCGUAGAUAUUCGGAAGAACACCAGUGGCGAAGGCGGCUCACUGGACUGGUAUUGACGCUGAGGUGCGAAAGCGUGGGGAGCAAACAGG